Molecule: long non-coding RNA, 1031 nt
Organism: Scatophagus argus
Lineage: Eukaryota; Metazoa; Chordata; Actinopteri; Scatophagidae
Exons: 4
Source: RefSeq, a predicted model, not a curated record
CUCAAUAACACAAAUGACCUGCCUCUGUUUGAGCUCAGCCCCUGUGACAGACACUGCCCUCAACCUAUCAGAGGUGAGCACGCAGCCCCACCCAACCAAUGGGAAGCUAGCUGGAUGAACUACAAGGUGCAAAAACACAGAACAAAAAAGGCAGAGAGACACACACAGAAAGAGGAGUCUUGAGAAGGUAAAGAUAAGACAGCAACACACUGGCGUGGGGAAAGAAGUAAGAGCGACAGGGCCAGAGCCACAGACGAAGGUGACCAGGACCUCACCAAAUGACGAGACGCUAGCCAGCAGGAAGAUAAGCCGGAGUGCUGUGAUGAGCAGCAGGAACUCACAGGGGCCAUAGCCGUGUGUGUGGACAUGCCUCCUUGUAUCUGGAAAGAGAGGGAGAGAUUGUGGAUUCAUCACAUUGUGCCAAGAUGUCAAGAGCAGCCAAGAACCUUCAACUUAUGAUUCCUUACGAUAAAGCAUUGUGAUUCUGCUUUGAGUAUUUUUGCAGGGAGCUGGGCGUGGUGAUCUGGUUCCCUCUUCCCGGCACUCCACCUGCACACCUGCAGCCACUUACUUUCAGCUCUCCCACUCCAUCGCUGCCAGGAGAUUGUGACACUCUUCACGCAGAGUCUGAGAGACAGCGAGCAGCUUGUCAACACUGUUCAUUUCUGCCUUUGAUGUCUCCCGGAUGAUCGGCUGCGAGCUUGUCGACUGUGACGACUCCGUCUCUGCUAAACUCCAAAUGACUCCAGCUAUCACAGAGCUCUAUUCACCAAUCAUCAUCAGCUGCUCCUGUACGCCAUCAGCCCCUCAUUCACACUCAGGAUGUCUGAAAAACUAAUAAUGAAAAGGCAGAAAAUACAAGAGAUGUCCAUGACACCUUGAAGAAAGUGACAUUUACUGGGACUGAUGUACAAAUGAAAACAGGCUGCAGUUCUUUGGAAUAGAAACUCGAAAUCAAACUCUGGUGACCUUGACUUGACCUCAAGCACAGAGCUUUGCUACUAACCAUGAGGACAUCUUGUGUGUGUGUG